RNAcentral lists this transfer RNA (88 nucleotides) under bacterium. Its description in RNAcentral is "tRNA-Ser". It matches the Rfam family "tRNA". From Rfam's summary of the family: Transfer RNA (tRNA) molecules are approximately 80 nucleotides in length. Their secondary structure includes four short double-helical elements and three loops (D, anti-codon, and T loops). Further hydrogen bonds mediate the characteristic L-shaped molecular structure. tRNAs have two regions of fundamental functional importance: the anti-codon, which is responsible for specific mRNA codon recognition, and the 3' end, to which the tRNAs corresponding amino acid is attached (by aminoacyl-tRNA synthetases). tRNAs cope with the degeneracy of the genetic code in two manners: having more than one tRNA (with a specific anti-codon) for a particular amino acid; and 'wobble' base-pairing, i.e. permitting non-standard base-pairing at the 3rd anti-codon position. The record is from RNAcentral.
GGAGAGGUGACCGAGUGGUCGAAGGUGCACGCCUGGAGAGCGUGUGCGCUUAACGGCGCCGCGGGUUCGAAUCCCGCCCUCUCCGCCA